UAGGAAACUUUGGUCAAAGACAUGAAUUC
Molecule: non-coding RNA, 29 nt
Filed under: Mus musculus (house mouse)
Lineage: Eukaryota; Metazoa; Chordata; Mammalia; Rodentia; Muridae
Source: RNAcentral